This 372-nucleotide ribosomal RNA is filed under the name Escherichia coli. RNAcentral describes it as "bacterial SSU rRNA". It matches the Rfam family "Bacterial small subunit ribosomal RNA", at positions 1 to 369 of the family's 1533-position model. The record is from RNAcentral. Lineage: Bacteria; Pseudomonadati; Pseudomonadota; Gammaproteobacteria; Enterobacterales; Enterobacteriaceae.
AAAUUGAAGAGUUUGAUCAUGGCUCAGAUUGAACGCUGGCGGCAGGCCUAACACAUGCAAGUCGAACGGUAACAGGAAGCAGCUUGCUGCUUUGCUGACGAGUGGCGGACGGGUGAGUAAUGUCUGGGAAACUGCCUGAUGGAGGGGGAUAACUACUGGAAACGGUAGCUAAUACCGCAUAACGUCGCAAGACCAAAGAGGGGGACCUUCGGGCCUCUUGCCAUCGGAUGUGCCCAGAUGGGAUUAGCUUGUUGGUGGGGUAACGGCUCACCAAGGCGACGAUCCCUAGCUGGUCUGAGAGGAUGACCAGCCACACUGGAACUGAGACACGGUCCAGACUCCUACGGGAGGCAGCAGUGGGGAAUAUUGCAC